Molecule: long non-coding RNA, 1056 nt
Filed under: Bos taurus (domestic cattle)
Lineage: Eukaryota; Metazoa; Chordata; Mammalia; Artiodactyla; Bovidae
Description: long non-coding RNA NONBTAT026321
Source: RNAcentral
AACAUGGCGGCAGCCAAGCCUGACGACCUCUGCUUGGUGGUGCAUGGACCCAGAGACCUGCACUUGGAGUACUAUCCUAUCCCUGAACCAGGCCCAAAUGAGGUGCUACUGAAGAUACAUCCUGUCGGAAUUUGUAGUUCAGAUGUCCAUGGCCGGCAGCAUGGUCGAAUCAGAAAUUUUGUUGUGAAAAAGCCAAUGGUGCUAGGGCAUAAAGCUUUGAGAACAGUCAUAAAAGUGGAAUCAUCGGUCAAGCACUUAUAACCAGGUGAUCAUGUUGACAUUGAGCUUGGAGCUCCUUGAGAAACUUGAUGAACUCUGCAAGACUGGCCGAUACAAUCUGUCACCAACCAUCUUCUUCUGUGUCAUGCCGCCCGAUGAUGGGAACCUCUGCCAGUUCUACAAGCACAAGGCUAAUUUCUGCUACAAGUUUCCUGACAAUGUCACCUUUGAGGAAGGGGCCUUGGUUGAGCCACUGUCUGUGGGGAUUCAUGCCUGCCGGCAAACUGGAAACAAGGUCCUUGUGUGUGGAGCUGGGCCAGAUGGACUGGUCAGUUCCUCACAGCCAAGGCGAUGGGUGCAGCUCAAAUGGUGGUGACUGAUCUGUCAGCCUCUCGGUUGUCUAAAGCCAAGGAAGUUGGGGCUGAUUUCAUCCUCUGGACUCCAAUGAGAGCCCUCAGGAAAUAGCCAAGAAAGCAGAAGGUCUUCUGGGCAGCAAGCUGGAAGUCACCAUCAAGUGCACAGGAGCAGAGACCUCCAUCCAGGCAGAUAUCUACCAGACUCAUCCUGGUGGGCUGGUGCUGGUGGUGCUGGGCUCUGAGAUGACCAGUGGGCCCUUCGUGCAUGCAGCCACCUGGAAGGUGGAUAUCAAGGGCAUUUCGCUACUGCAAAAUGUGGCCAAUGGUUAUUUCAACACUUGCAUCCAAGUUUGUGAAUAUAAAGCCCUUGGUCACCCAUCGGUUUCCUAUGGUGAAAGCUCUGGGGGCUUUUGAAACCUCCAAAAAGGGUUUGGGGUUGAAAGUCAUGAUCAAGUAUGACCCCAAUGACCAGAAUCCAUGA